RNAcentral lists this ribosomal RNA (468 nucleotides) under uncultured bacterium. Its description in RNAcentral is "partial 16S ribosomal RNA". It matches the Rfam family "Bacterial small subunit ribosomal RNA", at positions 28 to 507 of the family's 1533-position model. The record is from RNAcentral.
GACGAACGCUGGCGGCGUGCUUAACACAUGCAAGUCGAACGGAAAGGCCCUGCUUUUGUGGGGUGCUCGAGUGGCGAACGGGUGAGUAACACGUGAGUAACCUGCCCUUGACUUUGGGAUAACUUCAGGAAACUGGGGCUAAUACCGGAUAGGAGCUCCUGCUGCAUGGUGGGGGUUGGAAAGUUUCGGCGGUUGGGGAUGGACUCGCGGCUUAUCAGCUUGUUGGUGGGGUAGUGGCUUACCAAGGCUUUGACGGGUAGCCGGCCUGAGAGGGUGACCGGCCACAUUGGGACGGAGAUACGGCCCAGACUCCCACGGGAGGCAGCAGUGGGGAAUAUUGCACAAUGGGCGGAAGCCUGAUGCAGCAACGCCGCGUGCGGGAUGACGGCCUUCGGGUUGUAAACCGCUUUCGCCUGUGACGAAGCGUGAGUGACGGUAAUGGGUAAAGAAGCACCGGCUAACUACGUG